RNAcentral lists this ribosomal RNA (864 nucleotides) under marine metagenome. RNAcentral describes it as "bacterial SSU rRNA". It matches the Rfam family "Bacterial small subunit ribosomal RNA", at positions 8 to 921 of the family's 1533-position model. The record is from RNAcentral.
AGAGUUUGAUCAUGGCUCAGAACGUACGCUGGCGGCACGCCUAACACAUGCAAGUCGAACGAAGUAGCAAUACUUAGUGGCAGACGGGUGAGUAACAUGUAGGUAUCUACCCUAUGGCCUGGAAUAACACGAGGAAACUUGUGCUAAUACCGGAUAAGUCUUUACGGAGAAAGCUUUAUGCACCAUUGGAUGAGCCUGCACUUGAUUAGUUUGUUGGUAGGGUAAUGGCCUACCAAGACUGUGAUCAAUAGCUGAUUUGAGAGGAUGAUCAGCCACAUUGGGACUGAGACACGGCCCAAACUCCUACGGGAGGCAGCAGUGGGGAAUCUUGCACAAUGGAGGAAACUCUGAUGCAGCGAUGCCGCGUGAGUGAAGAAGGCCCUUGGGUUGUAAAGCUCUUUCGUCGGGGAAGAAAAUGACUGUACCCGAAUAAGAAGGUCCGGCUAACUUCGUGCCAGCAGCCGCGGUAAUACGAAGGGACCUAGCGUAGUUCGGAAUUACUGGGCUUAAAGAGUUCGUAGGUGGUUGAAAUAGUUGGUGGUGAAAUCCCAGAGCUUAACUCUGGAACUGCCAUCAAAACUUUUCAGCUAGAGUUUGAUAGAGGAAAGCAGAAUUUCUAGUGUAGAGGUGAAAUUCGUAGAUAUUAGAAAGAAUACCAAUUGCGAAGGCAGCUUUCUGGAUCAUUACUGACACUGAGGAACGAAAGCAUGGGUAGCGAAGAGGAUUAGAUACCCUCGUAGUCCAUGCCGUAAACGAUGUGUGUUAGACGUUGGAAAUUUAUUUUCAGUGUCGCAGCGAAAGCGAUAAACACACCGCCUGGGGAGUACGACCGCAAGGUUAAAACUCAAAUGAAUGACGGGACCC